Molecule: long non-coding RNA, 1627 nt
Organism: Brassica napus (rape)
Lineage: Eukaryota; Viridiplantae; Streptophyta; Magnoliopsida; Brassicales; Brassicaceae
Exons: 4
Source: RefSeq, a predicted model, not a curated record
ACUUUGGGCUUCGGGGUGUUUUGUGUUUGCGACAAAAAUCAGAUCCGAUCUCGAAGGAUGACGAUUCUCCUCACCCUCAUCACUUUGUUUUCUCGGAUCGAAGAGCAACGAGUCGUAGAAUCAAUCGAUUCAAUCCUCCGCAAUCAAUACUUUCGUUUCAAAUCCCUGCAAUUCAUGCGUGCAUUCAGCUUCACACCGUCGUGGUCGUUAUUUUGCUCCGUCACCUGAACCUCCACGAUUCUUCUUCUCUGUCACCGGAGUCCGUAGUUCGAGUCGUCGUGGUCUCAAUCUCGCUCCCGAGCUUCUCCUCCAUUGCCAUGGCUUAGGUUCAGUCUGCUACUUUCCACCAUGAGAGUGCCGGUUCAAGCUUCACCAUCGUGCUCAGCCUUCGCCGUCGUCGGGAUCAGUGACCCUAUUGCGGAUCGGAAUGAGGAAGAACGACAAUGGUGAUUUCAGCACUAUUUGCAAGUCUGGUCCUUCACAUUUCCAUUGCUUUCACUUCUGCCCCCAGACUUUUGAUAUUACAUAAAUAACCCCAAAUCAACCUCCGUACUUUUGAUUGUGCAUGUCUAUGUUUACAGGUGCAGAAAAAGCUCUAAGGUGGUCUUCUUCCGCUUGAAGUUCAGACACUAAGCCAACAGAGUAAAGAAACUGAAGCAAGGUACCAGAAGAGCAAGGAUUGCAACAAAAAAAGUCAACGCCUUGCUUCAGCUUUCCUCCCAACAAUUGGCUGUCGUAUACAAGCUGUAAUCUCACAUUAUUAUUUUUUCUUCGUCAAGCAAUCUAGCAUUGUUUAUGACAAAAAAAUUGUGAAGAUUUUUUUGGCAUCACUGUUCAAGACAAGGAGGGCAUAAAGAAAUCGUAUGGAAUAACUCAUGGGGUCUUAAUACCAGAUUGGUAAUUGUUUAAUCUUAAUGUGAUUUAUUGAGUUGAAUAUAUGUAAGUAAAGCCAUAUAUAUGCACAAUGCCAUUGAAGAUGGAUGAGGGAUGGAAUGUUGCGAGUUCAGGUUCAUGCUAACUGCCGUCUCAGAAGGAUUUAUUUUGCUGAACGUCUCUACUCAGAUGAAGAGCUUCCUCCGGAGUUCAAACUCUAUCUCCCAGUGCAGAAAGCAUGAGUGUGUUUCUGCCGUUGUCUUGGAAACUACUUUAGAUAGACCUAAAGCAUCUUAGGUGGGAGGUUCAGGAUGGCUUGUAGCAUCCAUGGUAUUAGGAAUUUGCCAUCAAAGCCGAGAACACAAUUAUAGAAAUGUACCUUAGAUUACAUACAGAAAGGAUAUUUUACUGGCCAAUGACCCGCUUGGCGCCGUCUAAGGUGUUUCUGAGCAGCAUUGCCACUGUCAUUAGGCCUACACCACCAGGGACACCAUUAGAAGCUUCUGAAAAAUCAACAUCACCAACCAACCGGUAUCCUGAUUUCAUAUAAAAUUUUGAUUAUAGAAUUUCUAUAAUAUUCUCAAUCAAAAAUAUAAGAAUAAUAAUAAUUUUUUGAGUUCUAAUUCUCUUAAAUUUGAUUGACAGAAAUAGUUUAAAUUUUUAAUAUUUAUCUGAAGAUUUUUAUUUUUAUAAUCAGUACCAUCAUAUAUGUAUACACUCAAAUAAAAAUAGAAAAUCUCUAUGCUUUGUUAUC